GUCGAGAAUCUUUCACAAUGGGGGCAACCCUGAUGGAGCGACGCCGCGUGGAGGAUAAGGUCUUCGGAUUGUAAACUCCUGUCAUGCGUGAACAAGGUUGCUUGGUUAAUACCUGGGCAAAUUGAUGGUAACGCAAGAGGAAGAGACGGCUAACUCUGUGCCAGCAGCCGCGGUAAUACAGAGGUCUCAAGCGUUGUUCGGAAUCACUGGGCGUAAAGGGUGCGUAGGUGGCGUGGUAAGUCAGAUGUGAAAGCCCGGGGCUCAACCUCGGAACUGCAUGCGAUACUGCCAUGCUAGAGUACUGGAGAGGUGACUAGAAUUCUCGGUGUAGCAGUGAAAUGCGUAGAUAUCGAGAGGAAUACCAAAGGCGUAGGCAGGUCACUGGACAGUUACUGACACUGAGGCACGAAGGCCAGGGGAGCGAACGGGAUUAGAUACCCGGGUAGUCC
Molecule: ribosomal RNA, 449 nt
Filed under: uncultured bacterium
Lineage: Bacteria
Description: partial 16S ribosomal RNA
Rfam family: Bacterial small subunit ribosomal RNA
Source: RNAcentral